CACGUAGGGCGCAAGCGUUGUCCGGAAUUAUUGGGCGUAAAGAGCUCGUAGGCGGUCUGUCGCGUCUGCUGUGAAAACGCGGGGCUCAACCCCGCGCCUGCAGUGGGUACGGGCAGACUAGAGUGCGGUAGGGGAGACUGGAAUUCCUGGUGUAGCGGUGGAAUGCGCAGAUAUCAGGAGGAACACCGGUGGCGAAGGCGGGUCUCUGGGCCGUUACUGACGCUGAGGAGCGAAAGCAUGGGGAGCGAACAGG
Molecule: ribosomal RNA, 253 nt
Filed under: uncultured bacterium
Lineage: Bacteria
Description: partial 16S ribosomal RNA
Rfam family: Bacterial small subunit ribosomal RNA
Source: RNAcentral